AAUCCAUAGGUUAAUGAGGCGAACCGGGGGAACUGAAACAUCUAAGUACCCCGAGGAAAAGAAAUCAACCGAGAUUCCCCCAGUAGCGGCGAGCGAACGGGGAGGAGCCCAGAGCCUGAAUCAGCAUGUGUGUUAGUGGAAGCGUCUGGAAAGGCGCGCGAUACAGGGUGACAGCCCCGUACACAAAAGCGCAUGUGCUGUGAGCUCGAUGAGUAGGGCGGGACACGUGGUAUCCUGUCUGAAUAUGGGGGGACCAUCCUCCAAGGCUAAAUACUCCUGACUGACCGAUAGUGAACCAGUACCGUGAGGGAAAGGCGAAAAGAACCCCGGCGAGGGGAGUGAAAAAGAACCUGAAACCGUGUACGUACAAGCAGUGGGAGCACCCUUUGGGUGUGACUGCGUACCUUUUGUAUAAUGGGUCAGCGACUUAUAUUCUGUAGCAAGGUUAACCGAAUAGGGGAGCCGGAGGGAAACCGAGUCUUAACCGGGCGUUAAGUUGCAGGGUAUAGACCCGAAACCCGGUGAUCUAGCCAUGGGCAGGUUGAAGGUUGGGUAACACUAACUGGAGGACCGAACCGACUAAUGUUGAAAAAUUAGCGGAUGACCUGUGGCUGGGGGUGAAAGGCCAAUCAAACCGGGAGAUAGCUGGUUCUCCCCGAAAGCUAUUUAGGUAGCGCCUCGUGAAUUCAUCUCCGGGGGUAGAGCACUGUUUCGGCUAGGGGGCCAUCCCGGCUUACCAACCCGAUGCAAACUGCGAAUACCGGAGAAUGUUAUCACGGGAGACACACGGCGGGUGCUAACGUCCGUCGUGAAGAGGGAAACAACCCAGACCGCCAGCUAAGGUCCCAAAGUCAUGGUUAAGUGGGAAACGAUGUGGGAAGGCCCAGACAGCCAGGAUGUUGGCUUAGAAGCAGCCAUCAUUUAAAGAAAGCGUAAUAGCUCACUGGUCGAGUCGGCCUGCGCGGAAGAUGUAACGGGGCUAAACCAUGCACCGAAGCUGCGGCAGCGACACUGUGUGUUGUUGGGUAGGGGAGCGUUCUGUAAGCCUGUGAAGGUGUGUCGUGAGGCAUGCUGGAGGUAUCA
This 1083-nucleotide ribosomal RNA is filed under the name Salmonella enterica. RNAcentral describes it as "partial 23S ribosomal RNA". It matches the Rfam family "Bacterial large subunit ribosomal RNA", at positions 161 to 1284 of the family's 2925-position model. The record is from RNAcentral. RNAcentral also lists the same sequence under 1 other name. Lineage: Bacteria; Pseudomonadati; Pseudomonadota; Gammaproteobacteria; Enterobacterales; Enterobacteriaceae.